CACUCAGUGACAGUGUUUUCAUCUCCUCCCAGCAUUCCCCAAGACACUUAGCCCAGAGGGGCUGGAUCUCACCUUUGCCACUAACUAUUGUUGGGCUUUUUCUGCUCACAAAUCUACUCCAAGAUCUUCCAUCUUGGAUUAUUUUCCUUCUACCUGAAGCACACCUUUAGAAGUUACGGCCGGGCGUGGUGGCUCACAUCUCUAAUCCUAGCACUUUGGGAGGCCAAGAGAUGGGGAUUCUUGUUAUGUUGCCCAG
This is a long non-coding RNA of Cebus imitator (Panamanian white-faced capuchin), 256 nucleotides long. RefSeq lists it as uncharacterized. The transcript has 3 exons. The record is from RefSeq and is a predicted model, not a curated record. Lineage: Eukaryota; Metazoa; Chordata; Mammalia; Primates; Cebidae.